This 3615-nucleotide long non-coding RNA is filed under the name Malus domestica (apple). RNAcentral describes it as "long non-coding RNA (MDOM_LNC014381)". Lineage: Eukaryota; Viridiplantae; Streptophyta; Magnoliopsida; Rosales; Rosaceae. The record is from RNAcentral.
GAGCAAAGCCCCUUCUCUCUCUUUAAAAAAAUCAUUCCAUCUCCCAUGGUUGUCAAUUUGCACCCCCAUCUACUCCUCCGUAGUCAUCCAAACCUCUUCCUCUUCCUUUUCUUCAUCAUUUGACAUCUCUAAAUUUCUAGAGCACUAAUUAGCUUAAUAAUUGGUAUGUGUUUAAUCGAUUGGUUCAAUUUUUACGUAUUGAUUCAUUUUUCUUUUCAAUUAAAUGAGCUUCUGGUUAGAGUGUUUAAUGAGUUUUGUAUGUUUCAAUUAAAUGAGAAUCUUCUUGACUCUAUAUUCCUAUCUGUGGUCGAAAAAUGGGUACGUCCAUGAUAACUUUUGGUAGAUCAAUGAAUAUUUUUAACCGUGGAUUUUUAUUUUUAUUUUGUCGAAACCGUGGAUAUUUAUUAGAUACAAAAGUUGUGAACAACAAUUCACAUUACAUUGAAUUGUGACUAAAAAAUAUAUCGCCUUUGCACGUUUUAAAGGCGAACUCAUAGCUAAGCAGUUUUUAUUGUGGAGAAAUUUCGAGAAUUGAUUAAACCUGGAUUUGUAAUUGAGUUUAUGCAUUUUAAUGAUUAAACAGAUAAAUAUUUCAACUACAUAUGGAUUUAAUAUCAUAGUAUAUUUUAGCCUCUAUAUGCCACAAAAGUUGCGGACAAAAAUUCACAAUACAUAGAAUUGUGGUAAAAAAGUAUAUCGCCUUUGCACAUUUUAGAGGUGAACUCAGUGGUAAGCAUUUUUUAUUGUUGACCAAAACUUUGGGAAUUUAUCUAACUUGAAUGUAAAAUUGAGCUUAUGCAUUUUAAUGAUUAAAUUCAUAAAUAUCUCUAUCGCAUAUGAAUUUAAUAUCGUAGUGUCUUUUAGCCUCUACAUUGGUAUUUGUGGCAAAAAAAUGGGUACCUCCAUGAGAAACUUUUGCAGAUCGAUGAAUAUUUUCAAUCUGAAUAUUUAUUAGAUACUAGAAAUUAUAAGUCUAUUCGCGAAAGUCUAAGUCAAUGCCACGUACAAUAUUUGUUAAGACAUAUUUAGGGAACUGUUAUUAGCAUUCCAAAAAUCUCAUUCUACACUUUGCACAAGUAUAUUUUUCUUUCUAAGUAUAGACGCCUAAUUAGAUUUUUGGAGUGCUAACAACAAUUUGUAUAUUUAUAUACAUUUUAUUUUAGUUUGGAAAUCGACUUCUUUUUUUUUUCUUUCUUUAUCAAGUUGGGAGUAUUACUGACUGUGACCCUGUGCAACUAGUUGUUGAUUCGUUUUGAAUAAUCAACAUUAUUUCUUACAAUGUCUUGGGCGUAUGAAUAACAGAAAGAAAACGGUCAUGAUACAAGUUGAAUAAGAGUAGUACUAAUUAGUAAACAACUUGUGAACGAUGUUUGCUUAUAACCAAGUGGCAUGAAGGGACAAGUGUGUAUGUUUCAUGCAUCACUUGAACUAGUAUUAGUAAAGUCAAACAGGCCAAUCAACUUGUUGGCAAGUGGCCCUUUACCACAAUGGUGAAAAAGUGUUGUGCUCUUGCAUGACGGCGUGGGUUCGAAUUCUGUUGGUGACUAAUCUAACAUCUAACUUACUAAUGCUAUCGCUCAACUCAAAAAAAAAGAAAAAAAAUAUUCGAAAUAUAUGUAGUGGAUAAACACAAUCUCAAAAUUUAAUUGAACUCACAUAACAACGAUAAAUAAAGACAUUAUCACAACUUAGGGGUGGUGAGCAAUCCCAUUAAAAUAGAACUUAAUAUAUACAUGUUAAAAACAAAAACAAAUUGAUGCAAAAUCUCCUGAUGACUAAUACUAUUCCAAGUCAUGCAUGAAACAUACACAUUUAUCCCUUCAUGCCCCUUGGUUAUUAGCAAACAUCAUGCAUUUACUAAUACUAUUCCAAGUCAUGCAUGAAACCUACACAUUUGUCCCUUCAUUAUAAGCAAACAUCAUGCAUUUACUAAUAUUGUUCCAAGUCAUGCAUGAAACCUACACAUUUGUCCCUUCAUGCCCCUUGGUUAUAAGCAAACAUCAUGCACAAGUUGUUUACAAAUUAGUAGUACUACUAUUCAACUUGUAUCAUGACCGUUUUCUUUCUGUUAUUCAUAGGCCCAAGACAUUGUAAGAAAUAAUGUUGAUUAUUCAAAACGAAUCAACAACUAGUUGCACAAGGUCACAAUCAGAGAUACUCUCAACUUGAUAAGAAAAGAAAAGAAAAAGGAAGUCGACUUCCAAACUAAAAUAAAAUGUAUAUAAAUAUACAAAAUUGUUAUUAUCACUCCAAACUUUCUAUAAUUAGAAAGAAAAAUACACUUGUGCAGACUGUAGAAUGAGAUUUUUGGAGUGCUAAUAAUAGUUCCCUAAAUAUGUCUUGACAAAUAUUGUACAUGACAUUGACUUAGACUUUCGUGAAUAGACUUAUAAUUUCUGGUAUCUAAUAAAUAUCCAGAUUGAAAAUAUUCAUCGAUCUACAAAAUUUUCUCAUGGAGGUACCCAUUUUUUUACCACAGAUACCAAUAUAGAGGCUAAAAGACAAUACAAUAUUAAAUUCAUAUGUGGUCAAGAUAUUUAUGAAUUUAAUCAUUAAAUGCAUAAGCUCAAUUAUACAUUCAAGUUAGAUCAAUUUCCGAAGUUUUGAUCAACAAUAAACUGCUUACCUAUGAGUUCACCUAUAAAUUGUGCAAAAACGAUAUACUUUUUAACCACAAUUUUAUGUAUUGUGAAUUUUUGUCCGCAACUUGUGUGGCAUAUAGAGACUAAAAGAUACUACGAUAUUAAAUCCAUAUAUGGUCGAAAUAUUUAUUAGUUUAAUCAUUAAAAUGCAUAAACUCAAUUACACAUCCAGGUUAGAUCAAUUCUCGAAGUUUUGCUCCACAAUAAAACUGCUUAGCUAUGAGUUCGCCUAUAAAACGUGCAAAGAGGAUAUACUUUUUAGCCACAGUUCAAUGUAAUGUGAAUUGUUGUCUGCAACUUUGUAUCUAAUAAAUAUCCACGAUUAAAAAUAUUCAUUAAUCUACCAAAAUUUAUCAUGGAUGUACCUAUUUUUCUACCAUAAAUAGGAAUAUAGAGCAGCCACUUCUCAUUUUUCUAGGGGAAAUUUUAUUUGAACCCAUAUUUUGUAUCUCAACACCCAACUUACUUUUUAUGCCUACAUUAUAUUUGAUUUAUCUAUCAUUAUCUCUUUACACCCAAUGUUAUUUCCGAAACCAUCCUUACCUAUCAAAACUCAACUCAAUCAAACUUCUUUUUACACCCAACAAUCUACUUAAAUAUAAAAAAUAAAACCCUAACCAGUCCAUCAUCUCCAUGGAGCAAAGCCCCUUCUCUCUCUUUAAAAAAAUCAUUCCAUCUCCCAUGGUUGUCAUUUUGCACCCCCCAUCUACUCCUCCGUAGUCAUCCAAACCUCUUCCUCUUCCUUUUCUUCAUCAUUUGACAUCUCUAUAUUUCUAGAGCACUAAUUAGCUUAAUAAUUGGUAUGUGUUUAAUCGAUUGGUUCAAUUUUUACGUAUUGAUUCCUUUUUCUUUUCAAUUAAAUGAGCUUCUGGUUAGAGUGUUUAAUGAGUUUUGUAUGUUUUAAUUAAAUGAGAAUCUUCUUGACUCUAUAUUCCUAUCUGUGGUCGAAAAAUGGGUACGUCCAUGAUAACUU